This 69-nucleotide transfer RNA is filed under the name Rattus norvegicus (Norway rat). It matches the Rfam family "tRNA". From Rfam's summary of the family: Transfer RNA (tRNA) molecules are approximately 80 nucleotides in length. Their secondary structure includes four short double-helical elements and three loops (D, anti-codon, and T loops). Lineage: Eukaryota; Metazoa; Chordata; Mammalia; Rodentia; Muridae. The record is from Rfam by way of RNAcentral.
GGGGAUUUAGCUCAGUAGCAGAGCACUUGCCUAGCAAGCACAAGGCCCUGGGUUCAGUCCCCAGCUCCG